GCCUACAUCUGUUCCUAUUGAAACUGCGCCAGUCUCGCCAUUGCAACUGGAGUUGGAGCAACCGGCUGUGGUUACCUCAAGCUCAUAAGUUGAUACUAGCACCGAGGUCGGGAAUAACUAAAUUUGUGUAUCUUUUCUUUUUCUUUUCUAGGCAAUGUAAGGGAGGGCUCUAAAAUCAAUAAAAAAAGAUAAUUUUUAUCCAUAUUCUUUGGUUCAUAUCUAUUUGCAAUACUUUUCUCAAUUGGUUUGGUUUGAUUAUUGCAAUCGUAUGUUUAUCCAAUAUCGUGCUAAGCAUCUGCCGAUAGCCUUGCCUCUGA
This 317-nucleotide long non-coding RNA is filed under the name Elaeis guineensis (African oil palm). RNAcentral's name for it is "long non-coding RNA (EGUI_LNC034403)". Lineage: Eukaryota; Viridiplantae; Streptophyta; Magnoliopsida; Arecales; Arecaceae. The record is from RNAcentral.